RNAcentral lists this ribosomal RNA (157 nucleotides) under uncultured Clavulina. Its description in RNAcentral is "5.8S ribosomal RNA". It matches the Rfam family "5.8S ribosomal RNA". From Rfam's summary of the family: 5.8S ribosomal RNA (5.8S rRNA) is a component of the large subunit of the eukaryotic ribosome. The record is from RNAcentral. Lineage: Eukaryota; Fungi; Basidiomycota; Agaricomycetes; Cantharellales; Hydnaceae.
UAACUUUUAACAACGGAUCUCUUGGCUCUCGCAUCGAUGAAGGACGCAGCGAAAUGCGAUAAGUAAUGUGAAUUGCAGAAUUCAGUGAAUCAUCGAAUCUUUGAACGCACCUUGCGCUCCCUGGCAUUCCGAGGAGCACACCUGUUCGAGCGUCGUG